RNAcentral lists this long non-coding RNA (1149 nucleotides) under Numida meleagris (helmeted guineafowl). Its description in RNAcentral is "lncRNA (ENSNMEG00000013449.1)". The record is from RNAcentral. Lineage: Eukaryota; Metazoa; Chordata; Aves; Galliformes; Numididae.
UGAAUGCUCACAAACCAUUCUCUGCAGCAUGCGUCCCCAUUCAUCAAGGACUGGCCACGUGUCCUCACCCUGAUCGUGAGUUCCUCACUCACCCAGCUGAGCCUGAGUCUCUGCUCCCUUUCCCUGUCCACCUCCAAGCCUUCUUCCUGCCCUGGGACACACCCACAGACCUGCCUGGGGCUCUGGGGGUCUCCUUCCCCAUCCCUUCCUCCAUCAUUACACUUCUAGAGAUGGGAUGGAAACGUGGGGGACGGGGCAAGGAUGGUAUCCGGGUGCUUUCUGCAGGCAGCAAGGAUCCUACCUGAGAUAUUCCAGCUGCCUCUCAUCCUGAAGGAGGCGGAGGCCAUUUUCCCCCAGCUCUUCCUGGCCUCUUGCAGGUGUCCUUCAACAUGGAGCUGACGCAGCAGGAGGUGGAAAUCUUCUGUGCGAAGCACCAGCAGGGCCAGCUCAUUCCCAGCAGGUGCCACUUCCCUGUCCUCCCGCUGCACCCAGGGACCUGAUGCUGGGGCUCACGAUGUGACUCGCACUGCUCUCCACCUGCAGGUCCACAGUGCGGUCCUUAAAGGUACUGCUCUGCAGCUUGGGCCUCCAGAGGCAGACAGAGGCCAUUCAGGAGCCAUUCAGAAGCGGGGCAGCUGGGACAUGCUUCUCAGCACCGUGACCCACCUCCAGGGCAUGCAGGUGGUGGCUAGGCCUUCACGGACUGCAGCAAGACCCCAGUCCAUCCAUCUCUUCGCCAGCCCUUCUGACACUGAAGCUCCUGAAGGAAACAAGGCCACCUCCACCACCAAGAGACUCUGGGCAGCUCUUCUCCAGGCUCCACAGCGGGUGGAGGAGGUGGCACUCGUCCCAAGCAGACAGCUGAACACCCUGGAAAGUUCCCAGCAUCUCCUCCUGCCCGCUGCUCAGCUCCGCUCCUCGGGCACAUCCCUUCCCCGUUGCUGUGCCGCUCCUCAGCCCGCGGUGCCAGCUACUUCAGCAUGGUUGCCUGUCUUCUCUCUGUGGGAAAUGGGAAAACAACCCAGGAGAUCAGCACUGCCCUGAGAGGAAUGGGACGUGCAGCGCUCCCUGCCAGUGCCACACGCUUUCAGUCACUGCCAGCAAGCACCAGCUGCUCUGCUGGGCUGCAAAACGGGAUUAUAAAUAAAG